UAAAUGAAUGCUCCGUUUGGUCACCGUCAUUAACUCAUGCAUUUCGUGCGCCGUCGGCAAAACAACUCGAAUCGACCUCGACCAUAAGUUAUUGGGUAUAUUUUUCUUCGUUUAAGAAAUACCGAAAUACUUAUAGGGCCACUCGUGUAUUCUUACCAAUCUAAUAUGCUGUAAUACGUGUGUCGGAAACAUAUGCGAUAUACCACGUCAUUUAUAUGUGUAUACUAUAAGCGAUAUCAAACAUAUGAAGUCUUGAACCAAAAGAAAGCCAGAAACUCUCUCCUUCCGUACUGAACCUUGUAUACAGUGCUUUAUGUACCGUGUUACAUAGAGCCACAGCGAUAGACACGAUGAAUCCUCUCGGAGACGAUUACCUUGUGCCAAGGUGACCUCCUUUCUACUUCGUUCAUUUUUGCCCCGUUAUUCAAGGCCAUGAAAUAGUAGAACGUAUGUGCGAGAUAACGAGUUCAGCACCCCCCUCCGCCGAGCCAUAUGGAUUAACGUAAAAAUUCAUUAAUAUGUCUACGUAACUCCUAAUGAUAAGGAAGAAAAUAAAAAAAGGCCAUUCUGAGUUACUUGACUGGCCGACGAUGAGUCAUCGGUAGGGAAUGAUAUGACGUGUUUCAUAAUUUUUUUUUUUUUUCAUAUUUCUGUGCCAAUAAACUGUUAAGGAGAAGCGCGAAUGCAUAUUACCAAGAAAACAUAAAUAUAAGCACGUAUAGUGAGGCGAUUAAGUAUCAUUUGGUGUUCGUUCGAUGCUAUUUGAGCUCGAUGAAUCCUCGACCUUGCUUCGCUACCUUAUCUGCCCUGUAUUAUUGACGAGUCGCGGCUGUAUAUACAUUUUUUCUUUAUACCUUGGAUUUUGUUCAGAUAAAAUGCGGUCGCGUCAUACGCGAUACCACCUUCGCUGCUCGCAGGUGGAAUAGCAACAACAAUAAUAGAUACUGUCGCUCGUGUUUCAAUUUGCAUUAGCAAAAUGUGCAGAAAUGAACGGUGGUGAAAUUUUGCAAGAAUGAUAGAGACAGGCGGAGCUAGUGAAACUCUCAUUGAACGGAAGAAACUAGUGGAACGCGAAAAUAAAUAAAAAGAAACGAAUCGCUACGUGGUCGUUGAUUCGUUGAUCCUCUUGUUGUGCGUCGUGGCAGAUUAUCAAGAGAUUUGACACUCGGAUUUAUAUUUAUUUACAGGAAACGUCCCAAAUAUAUACUUCAAGAUCUUGCUUCUGAAUAUAUGAAUAGCCGAUUAUGUGCAAGUACAUUGAGCCGGUACCGUUAAGUAAAUCUUGACCGAAGAAAUCCUCUGAAUUGUCACUGAAAACGAUUGGUUGACACUUAAUGACAAGAUUUCACGUGAAAGAUCUGGCCAAAAAAGGAAUGAGCUGAGUCAUCGUGAAAUUCUAUGAAAACAUCUAAAAUCGUGUUUCAUCAGCAGUGACGCAUCUUAGCGACAUAGAGUGGCCGAUACGAUGCAUUUGCAAUGAACAUAGAAAGCAGGGCGAGGGUGCUGAUGAGGAAACGAAAAGAGAAACGUAGAGAGGGGUAUACACACAACACACACACAUACACACAGAGAAAAAGAGAGCGAGAGAGAGAGAGAGAGAAAGAGAGGGAAUAAAGUCUGACUCAUUUUAUGCACCAGCGGAGGGUACGGGUGAACUGAGCUCUAUGCACGUCAUUGGAAUUGUAUGAAUCACACUAGCAGUCCUCUGAUAUGCCUACCCGUCUUCGUACACUGACAGUAAAAAUGGCGAAACCUGCCUCUAAAGAGUCCCUCUUGCCGUACUGCACUGUGUUGAAGAUUCUAGAAGUCAUUUUAAAAUUUGAAAAACCUACAAACAAAUCUUAUACAUCAUUUAAUCUCUGAAGAAUGUUCGAAUAGAAGAAGAAACAAGAAAAUUGUUUUCAAUAAAAUUAUAAUGCAAUUAACACU
Long non-coding RNA from Cephus cinctus (wheat stem sawfly), 1929 nucleotides. RefSeq lists it as uncharacterized. The record is from RefSeq and is a predicted model, not a curated record. NCBI's taxonomy places the organism in Eukaryota, Metazoa, Arthropoda, Insecta, Hymenoptera, Cephidae. The transcript has 2 exons.